GCUCAGAUUGAACGCUGGCGGCAGGCCUAACACAUGCAAGUCGAGCGGUAACAGAAAGAAAGCUUGCUUUCUUUGCUGACGAGCGGCGGACGGGUGAGUAAUGCCUAGGGAUCUGCCCAGUCGAGGGGGAUAACAGUUGGAAACGACUGCUAAUACCGCAUACGCCCUACGGGGGAAAGGAGGGGACCUUCGGGCCUUUCGCGAUUGGAUGAACCUAGGUGGGAUUAGCUAGUUGGUAAGGUAAUGGCUUACCAAGGCGACGAUCCCUAGCUGUUCUGAGAGGAUGAUCAGCCACACUGGGACUGAGACACGGCCCAGA
RNAcentral lists this ribosomal RNA (319 nucleotides) under Shewanella frigidimarina. RNAcentral's name for it is "bacterial SSU rRNA". It matches the Rfam family "Bacterial small subunit ribosomal RNA", at positions 22 to 335 of the family's 1533-position model. Lineage: Bacteria; Pseudomonadati; Pseudomonadota; Gammaproteobacteria; Alteromonadales; Shewanellaceae. The record is from RNAcentral.